GCUAUAACAGGAUGGCUUGCUCCCAUGUAGGCCUGCUAUAUUCAUUGUUAUUUCCAGUUAACUUCUUUAUUUGACUGUUUGUCCUGCUGUCUCCCUGACUUUGUGUGUUGUUAACCUACAGGUGAUUAGAGAUAGUUGCAAGAUGUCUCAAACUUUACCAGUCCUAAAGCUGAGUUAAUGGAGGUAUCUUACAGUUUUUCCAAAUCUCUCUCAACAGGAAUGCAGUGUGCCUGUACCAUGGAUGGAUGACUCCGUCAUUAAACCACAAACCAAAGCAGCUCUUACUUCCCAGAGUCUGGCAUUCUCCUAGGGCUCAGAUAGAGCCAUUGCUGUGAUGGUGCAGGCCAAUGCUUGAUGGUGGCAAGCUGAAGAAAAGCAUUAAAAUAAAGCCAUUGGAGAUGUAAGCAUACAGCUGGCUUCUGAAUGAGAAAAGACGUACACCGUCUGCACACAGCUGAGUUCCUUGAAGCUGGCGGCUGCGGGCUCGGUGGUGCCAACCAAACACAGCCAUGGGCUUUACUUGCUCUGGGACCGGCGUGUCACCGGCCUCAGCCUCCCAGCAGCGGAGCCGUCUGGGGUGUUUUGUGCCAACCCCAAAUCCCUUUGGCAGGCCACAGCCAAGAAUCUCACAGACUGCUGUCCCAAAGCUGCGGCAGGAGGUGGUCUUGCGUUUCCCAGGGAGGGCUGCUGCUGCAGCAGGCACUCACUGCCUUGAGCCCGCCUUGGCUGCUGGGCGAUUCCUGGCAGAGGUGAAUCAUGAGUGGGGAGCUCCACGACUGCGGGGUGCAUGCAUGCACCAAAACAGUGCCUACAGCUUGCUGCCUCUGCCCCGCUCUCCUUUCCUGCCUCCUUUCCCCCAGGGUCCUAACUCCUGACUUUGUUGCUCUAUAAACAUAAUAACAAUAAUUAUUCUCUCAUUGGACACGUAGCCAUCUUCUUUGUUUGCAGGCUUAGAUAAAUAUCAUUCAAAUCAUGGAGUCUGAUUCAUGAGUCAGGACGAUGGCAGUCCUCCAAAACCUCCUUGCCCAUGGAGAGUGUGUUUGUGUGAGAGAGAUAGAGAGUUUCACUGUAUGAAGAGUAAGAAACUGGAAGCCAAGUGAAUUAAAUACAAAGCAGAUAAUUAUGUGUAAUUCAUUUACUGACUAAUGAUUGCACCUGGUACGAAGUUUUUUGAAUUCAUUUGACUCUGCAGAGGUUCUCAAAAACAUUCUCCCUGCUACACGAUAAAAAUAUAGGCUGACAUUUCUGAACAGACCAGUGUUUACAUUAGUAGUAUUGUAAGAUUCUGUCUUUUUGGCUCAUUCCUUAUUUUAUCUCACGAUGUUUCAUUUUUUUCUGGGUUCAUCUCGUACCUCUUUUAAAGUGACUACUGCUCAGCCCUGGUAAAGAAUGGGUGUCACUGGAGAGUGACGCCUUCAGUCUGCUUGUGACAGCUCUGUAAGGCAUCAACGCUUUUCUUCCCUCCCCACCCCGGCAGCCGGGACUGCGCCAGGGAGGCCAUGACCACAGCGGGACCGCGCAGGCCACGGCCCCCUUCCCACUCUGCCAUGAUCGGCAGUGAUGGGGGGCUUUUUGUGGUGUUACUCACUUGUCACCUUGGUCUGGUGCCACCAGCUCCUCCUGCCUGAACACUGCCAAGCAGGAGCAACCGUCGCCUCUCGAGAGCUGGGUGGAUUGCAGGUGAAGGACCCGGAGUCGAAGCCUUCAAUGGGAUGGUAAAGACCAUGCGAGUCCCACGAGGCCCUGGGGAGCUGCCUCCGUGCAGAUGGGGCCCCUGUGCCUCCACGACACCUCUCCUACCUGGCGUGUUCAACCCGAGGUCCUCAGGGUGCCAUGAGCCAGGCCCAGUGAGUCCUGGGCAGGAACGGAGAGCAGAGCUGCACUGAGGGCUUGUGACCACAAAGAUGCUGCCCAAGACGGUGCGGUUACCUGAGCAGCUGAAGCGAAAGAGCUUUCCAAGUUAUAUUGCCCGUGCUAGGCAUGCGCUGGUGCCCUGCUCCUGGCCUGUCGAUGGGCUAAAGGCAGCUCACCUUAAUCAUCCCCCUGCCAACAUGAAUGUAUGCGCAUAGUUGAUUGUUCAUGUCUUCUGUAAUGGCUCUUGGUCAA
Non-coding RNA from Struthio camelus australis, 2106 nucleotides. Lineage: Eukaryota; Metazoa; Chordata; Aves; Struthioniformes; Struthionidae. The record is from RefSeq and is a predicted model, not a curated record.